GUAAACGGCGGCCGUAACUAUAACGGUCCUAAGGUAGCGAAAUUCCUUGUCGGGUAAGUUCCGACCCGCACGAAAGGCGUAACGAUUUGGGCACUGUCUCAACGAGAGACUCGGUGAAAUCAUAGUACCUGUGAAGAUGCAGGUUACCCGCGACAGGACGGAAAGACCCCGUGGAGCUUUACUGUAGCCUGAUAUUGAAAUUCGGCACAGCUUGUACAGGAUAGGUAGGAGCCUUUGAAACGUGAGCGCUAGCUUACGUGGAGGCGCUGGUGGGAUACUACCCUAGCUGUGUUGGCUUUCUAACCCGCACCACUUAUCGUGGUGGGAGACAGUGUCAGGCGGGCAGUUUGACUGGGGCGGUCGCCUCCUAAAAGGUAACGGAGGCGCUCAAAGGUUCCCUCAGAAUGGUUGGAAAUCAUUCAUAGAGUGUAAAGGCAUAAGGGAGCUUGACUGCGAGACCUACAAGUCGAGCAGGGUCGAAAGACGGACUUAGUGAUCCGGUGGUUCCGCAUGGAAGGGCCAUCGCUCAACGGAUAAAAGCUACCCCGGGGAUAACAGGCUUAUCUCCCCCAAGAGUUCACAUCGACGGGGAGGUUUGGCACCUCGAUGUCGGCUCAUCGCAUCCUGGGGCUGUAGUCGGUCCCAAGGGUUGGGCUGUUCGCCCAUUAAAGCGGUACGCGAGCUGGGUUCAGAACGUCGUGAGACAGUUCGGUCCCUAUCCGUCGUGGGCGUAGGAAAUUUGAGAGGAGCUGUCCUUAGUACGAGAGGACCGGGAUGGACAUACCUCUGGUGUACCAGUUGUCGUGCCAACGGCAUAGCUGGGUAGCUAUGUGUGGACGGGAUAAGUGCUGAAAGCAUCUAAGCAUGAAGCCCCCCUCAAGAUGAGAUUUCCCAACUUCGGUUAUAAGAUCCCUCAAAGAUGAUGAGGUUAAUAGGUUCGAGGUGGAAGCAUGGUGACAUGUGGAGCUGACGAAUACUAAUCGAUCGAAGACUUAAUCAA
This 1000-nucleotide ribosomal RNA is filed under the name Staphylococcus aureus. RNAcentral's name for it is "partial 23S ribosomal RNA". It matches the Rfam family "Bacterial large subunit ribosomal RNA", at positions 1923 to 2925 of the family's 2925-position model. RNAcentral also lists the same sequence under 1 other name. The record is from RNAcentral. Lineage: Bacteria; Bacillati; Bacillota; Bacilli; Caryophanales; Staphylococcaceae.